CAAGACCUGUGUAAUACUAAUACACAUCUCAUGAAUGCAAAUCAAACACUUUAAUUAAGCUAAGGCCUC
Molecule: transfer RNA, 69 nt
Filed under: Sceloporus angustus
Lineage: Eukaryota; Metazoa; Chordata; Lepidosauria; Squamata; Phrynosomatidae
Description: tRNA-Ala
Source: RNAcentral